GAUGAACGCUGGCGGCGUGCUUAACACAUGCAAGUCGAACGGGAAAUAUUUCAUUGAGCCUUCGGUGGAUUUGAUUUAUUUCUAGUGGCGGGCGGGUGAGUAACGCGUGGGUAACCUGCCUUAUACAGGGGGAUAACAGUCAGAAAUGGCUGCUAAUACCGCAUAAGCGCACAGAGCUGCAUGGCUCAGUGUGAAAAACUCCGGUGGUAUAAGAUGGACCCGCGUUGGAUUAGCUAGUUGGUGGGGUAACGGCCCACCAAGGCGACGAUCCAUAGCCGGCCUGAGAGGGUGAACGGCCACAUUGGGACUGAGACACGGCCCAGACUCCUACGGGAGGCAGCAGUGGGGAAUAUUGCACAAUGGGGGAAACCCUGAUGCAGCGACGCCGCGUGAAGGAAGAAGUAUCUCGGUAUGUAAACUUCUAUCAGCAGGGAAGAUAGUGACGGUACCUGACUAAGAAGCCCCGGCUAACUACGUG
RNAcentral lists this ribosomal RNA (478 nucleotides) under uncultured bacterium. RNAcentral's name for it is "partial 16S ribosomal RNA". It matches the Rfam family "Bacterial small subunit ribosomal RNA", at positions 28 to 507 of the family's 1533-position model. The record is from RNAcentral.